AUGAACAACUUGCUAACCGAUUCCUUUGAGCUUCUCCGGCGAGAUUCCUCAAGAGAUGAGGGGGAUGUUGAAAUGGGGAUACAUCAGCUAGACGCCUCUGAUAAUUUAAAAGGCUUCUUGAACAAGGUUAAUGGAAUCAAGAGCCUAAUAGCUAAGCUGACGAGUCUCUUGACUAAGCUCCAGACUGCAAAUGAGGAAUCAAAAGUAGUUACAAAAGCAAGCGCCAUGAAAGCAAUUAAGAAGCAAAUGGAGAAAGAUAUUGAUGCAGUGAUGAAAAUUGCUCGUAUGGCAAAAACAAAAAUUGAUGAACUGGAAAAAGAUAACUUAUCUAACACGGAGAAACCUGGAUGCGGGAAGGGCUCCGUGGUAGAUCAAUUAAGGGAACAGACUACUGGAGCAGUGAAAAAGAAGUUAAAGAAACGGAUGGACGAUUUUCAGGUACUGAGAGAAUCAAUCCGGCAGGAGUACCGGGAAGUUGUUGAAAGAAGGGUAUUUACUGUAACUGGUAAUCGCCCUGAUGAACAGACAAUUGAUGAUUUAAUCGAGACAGGGAGAAGCGAGCAUAUUUUCAAAGAUGCGGUUCAACAGCAGGGGAGAGGCCAGAUAUUGGAUACACUUGCUGAGAUACAAGAGCGGCAUGAUGCUGUAAGAGAUCUAGAGAGGAAGCUUCUGGAGUUGCAGCAGAUAUUCCUGGAUAUGGCAGUAUUGGUUGACGCUCAAGGAGACAUGACGGACGACAUAGUGACACAUGUUUCAAAGGCUAGCGACUACAUACAGCAAAGUUUGGAUGCUCUCCAGAAGGCAAAGAAGCUUCAGAAGAACUCGAGAAUGUGCAUGUGCUCCGCCAUAAUCGUUCUCCUGCUAAUUGUGGUUAUCGUCGUGCUGGUGGUUAUCAAGCCAGGGAAGAAGUAA
RNAcentral lists this ribosomal RNA (912 nucleotides) under Triticum aestivum (bread wheat). RNAcentral's name for it is "partial small subunit ribosomal RNA". Lineage: Eukaryota; Viridiplantae; Streptophyta; Magnoliopsida; Poales; Poaceae. The record is from RNAcentral.